AUCGCGGUUAUCUGCAAAACGACGACCAGAGAGGUAAGUCAAGAUAAAAAAAAACUACGCGAACUUUGAUUCCUCAAUAAGUAAGUAUACACACGUAUACAACUCAAUUAUUAUUAUUAUUAUUAUUAUUAUUAUUAUUAUUAUUAUUAUUAUUAUUAUUAUUAUUAUUAUUAUUAUUAUUAUUAUUAUUUGUUUUUAUGUUUCAUCCUCCAAAUUUACAUACCUUGCCGUCAUCGGGAAGAGCGAGAGCAGUAGAGAGAAGUGAAUAACCGGGUAUCAGUAAUGCAUGCUCAUUGGUUCAUUCCACAUGAAUGAGGAGAGGCGUCCGCAGAUAAGAAGACUCGAUGUGACGAGAAAGCAGGAGUCCGCUCGCUACACGCAAGUGUGGCCGAUGCAGAUGGGGUCGUAAGAUUUGUAACUUAGUGAAAUUUUACAAAUUUUAAUUUUCGUCUCCAACUAAAAAAAAUUUAGAAACAAGGCAUAAAAUUUAUUCAACUUAGUGAACAAUAUUUAUUACCUAAAUUAAUUAUGAAACAAAUGUUGUAGCCUUGUAGGCUAUAUAAA
Salvia splendens (bonfire salvia) is the source of this 564-nucleotide long non-coding RNA. RefSeq lists it as uncharacterized. NCBI's taxonomy places the organism in Eukaryota, Viridiplantae, Streptophyta, Magnoliopsida, Lamiales, Lamiaceae. The record is from RefSeq and is a predicted model, not a curated record. The transcript has 2 exons.